Molecule: long non-coding RNA, 697 nt
Filed under: Homo sapiens (human)
Lineage: Eukaryota; Metazoa; Chordata; Mammalia; Primates; Hominidae
Description: HSALNT0015513
Source: RNAcentral
AUGCCUCCUCCCCAGCCCCGGCCACAACCUUGGCCCAACCCCAACAGAACCAGACGCAGACUCACCAUACCACGCAGCAGACAUUCCUGAACCCGGCGCUGCCUCCUGGCUACAGUUACACCAGCCUGCCAUACUAUACAGGGGUCCCGGGCCUCCCCAGCACCUUCCAGUAUGGGCCUGCUGUGUUCCCUGUGGCUCCUACCUCUUCCAAGCAGCAUGGUGUGAAUGUCAGUGUGAAUGCAUCGGCCACCCCUUUCCAACAGCCGAGUGGAUAUGGGUCUCAUGGAUACAACACUGGAAGAAAAUAUCCACCCCCUUACAAGCAUUUCUGGACGGCUGAGAGCUAAUUUGGCCCAAGGCUGGGGGCUGUGUUUUGUGUGUGUGUAUAAAUUUGCACUGAAGUCUUGUUUCAGAAACCAGACCACUGAGGAGAGCCUGCUGAGCUGAGGCCAUGGCCUGCGUGGCUUGGGGAAAUGAGUUGGUGGAUACCUUCUGGGCUUUUGAACUUGCCCCUCCCCCAUUUCCCUCUCCCCCAUGUGUCUGACCCUGUCUUACCCAUUUCAAGUUCAAGCGGUGCAGCACCUUCGAAGCAUCAAUGCACACACCUGCUGUUGCUUUUGAUUUCUGGAAGGCAUGUAGUUUCAACUUGUAACAAAAAUAUUUGUAGUCUUCAAUAAACUGUGGUAUUUCUUUAGCU